UGGGGAAUAUUGCACAAUGGGCGAAAGCCUGAUGCAGCAAUGCCGCGUGUGUGAAGAAGGCCUGCGGGUUGUAAAGCACUUUUAUCAGGAAAGAAACAGCCUGGGGUUAAUACCCCCGGGCCUUGACGGUACCUGAGGAAUAAGCACCGGCUAACUCCGUGCCAGCAGCCGCGGUAAUACGUAGGCAGCUAGCGUUGUUCGGAAUUACUGGGCGUAAAGCGAGUGUAGGCGGUUUGCCAAGUCCGUUGUGAAAUCUCCCGGCUCAACUGGGAGGGUGCGGCGGAAACUGGCAGGGUAGAGUGCGGAAUGGGAGAGUGGAAUUCCUGGUGUAGCGGUGAAAUGCGUAGAUAUCAGGAGGAACACCGGUGGUGAAGACGGCUCUCUGGACCGCUACUGACGCUGAGACUCGAAAGCGUGGGGAGCAA
RNAcentral lists this ribosomal RNA (425 nucleotides) under uncultured bacterium. RNAcentral describes it as "bacterial SSU rRNA". It matches the Rfam family "Bacterial small subunit ribosomal RNA", at positions 355 to 771 of the family's 1533-position model. The record is from RNAcentral.